UGUUUCGCCAUGCCAGAGAUGUUACUGCAUGAUGUUGGUCUUUGAUAAAUGUUUGACUGUCAGAUCUACAAGCAGAAGUACUUCAGCCCAUUUCAUCCAACACAUCGUCUCCCAACACACUUAUUUCCAUCCAGGGGAAGAGAUAGUAACAGAGUACCUGAUUAGAUGGUGCGAAGAUACUUUUAUAAAUAACCAGAACCUGUGCCAUGGGCCUUAA
Molecule: long non-coding RNA, 217 nt
Organism: Cyprinus carpio (common carp)
Lineage: Eukaryota; Metazoa; Chordata; Actinopteri; Cypriniformes; Cyprinidae
Source: Ensembl